UACGUAGGGGGCAAGCGUUGUCCGGAAUCAUUGGGCGUAAAGCGCGUGUAGGCGGUUCGGUAAGUCUGCUGUGAAAGUCCAGGGCUCAACCCUGGGAUGCCGGUGGAUACUGUCGGACUAGAGUACGGAAGAGGCGAGUGGAAUUCCCGGUGUAGCGGUGAAAUGCGUAGAGAUCGGUAGGAACACCAGUGGCGAAGGCGGUCUCCUGGGGCCCACUUGACGCUGAUGCGCGAAAGCUGGGGGAGCAAACGGG
Molecule: ribosomal RNA, 253 nt
Filed under: uncultured bacterium
Lineage: Bacteria
Description: partial 16S ribosomal RNA
Rfam family: Bacterial small subunit ribosomal RNA
Source: RNAcentral